RNAcentral lists this ribosomal RNA (484 nucleotides) under uncultured bacterium. RNAcentral describes it as "partial 16S ribosomal RNA". It matches the Rfam family "Bacterial small subunit ribosomal RNA", at positions 30 to 507 of the family's 1533-position model. The record is from RNAcentral.
AUUGAACGCUGGCGGCGGGCCUAACACAUGCAAGUCGAGCGGAUGAAGGGAGCUUGCUCCUGGAUUCAGCGGCGGACGGGUGAGUAAUGCCUAGGAAUCUGCCUGGUAGUGGGGGAUAACGUCCGGAAACGGGCGCUAAUACCGCAUACGUCCUGAUGGAGAAAGUGGGGGAUCUUCGGACCUCACGCUAUCAGAUGAGCCUAGGUCGGAUUAGCUAGUUGGUGGGGUAAAGGCCUACCAAGGCGACGAUCCGUAACUGGCCUGAGAGGAUGAUCAGUCACACUGGAACUGAGACACGGUCCAGACUCCUACGGGAGGCAGCAGUGGGGAAUAUUGGACAAUGGGCGAAAGCCUGAUCCAGCCAUGCCGCGUGUGUGAAGAAGGUCUUCGGAUUGUAAAGCACUUUAAGUUGGGAGGAAGGGCAGUAAGUUAAUACCUUGCUGUUUUGACGUUACCAACAGAAUAAGCACCGGCUAACUUCGUG